UUUCAGAGUUUGGACCUGGCUCAGGACGAACGCUGGCGGCGUGCCUAAUACAUGCAAGUCGAGCGGACCGACGGGAGCUUGCUCCCUUAGGUCAGCGGCGGACGGGUGAGUAACACGUGGGUAACCUGCCUGUAAGACUGGGAUAACUCCGGGAAACCGGGGCUAAUACCGGAUGCUUGAUUGAACCGCAUGGUUCAAUCAUAAAAGGUGGCUUUUAGCUACCACUUGCAGAUGGACCCGCGGCGCAUUAGCUAGUUGGUGAGGUAACGGCUCACCAAGGCGACGAUGCGUAGCCGACCUGAGAGGGUGAUCGGCCACACUGGGACUGAGACACGGCCCAGACUCCUACGGGAGGCAGCAGUAGGGAAUCUUCCGCAAUGGACGAAGUCUGACGGAGCACGCCGCGUGAGUGAUGAAGGUUUUCGGAUCGGAAAACUCUGUGAAAGGGAAGAACAAGUACCGUUCGAAUAGGGCGGCACCUUGACGGUACCUAACCAGAAAGCCACGGCUAACUACGUGCCAGCAGCCGCGGUCAUACGUAGGUGGCAAGCGUUGUCCGGAAUUAUUGGGCGUAAAGCGCGCGCAGGCGGUUUCUUAAGUCUGAUGUGAAAGCCCCCGGCUCAACCGGGGAGGGUCAUUGGAAACUGGGGAACUUGAGUGCAGAAGAGGAGAGUGGAAUUCCACGUCUAGCGGUGAAAUGCGUAGAGAUGUGGAGGAACACCAGUGGCGAAGGCGACUCUCUGGUCUGUAACUGACGCUGAGGCGCGAAAGCGUGGGGAGCGAACAGGAUUAGAUACCCUGGUAGUCCACGCCGUAAACGAUGAGUGCUAAGUGUUAGAGGGUUUCCGCCCUUUAGUGCUGCAGCAAACGCAUUAAGCACUCCGCCUGGGGAGUACGGUCGCAAGACUGAAACUCAAAGGAAUUGACGGGGGCCCGCACAAGCGGUGGAGCAUGUGGUUUAAUUCGAAGCAACGCGAAGAACCUUACCAGGUCUUGACAUCCUCUGACAACCCUAGAGAUAGGGCUUCCCCUUCGGGGGCAGAGUGACAGGGGUGCAUGGGUGUCGUCAGCU
Molecule: ribosomal RNA, 1072 nt
Filed under: Bacillus sp. MAN1
Lineage: Bacteria; Bacillati; Bacillota; Bacilli; Caryophanales; Bacillaceae
Description: bacterial SSU rRNA
Rfam family: Bacterial small subunit ribosomal RNA
Source: RNAcentral